GGGUUAGUGGCGGACGGGUGAGUAACACGUGGGAACGUGCCUUUAGGUUCGGAAUAGCUCCUGGAAACGGGUGGUAAUGCCGAAUGUGCCCUUCGGGGGAAAGAUUUAUCGCCUUUAGAGCGGCCCGCGUCUGAUUAGCUAGUUGGUGAGGUAAAGGCUCACCAAGGCUACGAUCAGUAGCUGGUCUGAGAGGAUGACCAGCCACAUUGGGACUGAGACACGGCCCAAACUCCUACGGGAGGCAGCAGUGGGGAAUCUUGCGCAAUGGGCGAAAGCCUGACGCAGCCAUGCCGCGUGAAUGAUGAAGGUCUUAGGAUUGUAAAAUUCUUUCAGUAGGGACGAUAAUGACGGUACCUACAGAAGAAGCCCC
RNAcentral lists this ribosomal RNA (370 nucleotides) under alpha proteobacterium BAL219. RNAcentral describes it as "bacterial SSU rRNA". It matches the Rfam family "Bacterial small subunit ribosomal RNA", at positions 89 to 494 of the family's 1533-position model. The record is from RNAcentral. Lineage: Bacteria; Pseudomonadati; Pseudomonadota; Alphaproteobacteria.